AGAACAUAAGCACAGAUUGUCGGAUUGGUCUCGCAGCAGAGGGAUCUUUCUUACUGAACAUCUACAUCUUGAUAUUGCUCUGUUCUAUUGCUUCUGCAUUCUGAAUUCUGCUUUUUAAAUCCAUUUGUUGGAAUAGUUCUUAACCCAGUAGACUGCAUGUCUGUCAGGAUUCAGGAGGUGGUGGUGAUCGUUUGGCAGAAAACAAGAGCAGCUUUGCCUCUAACGAUGACCUGCCUAAUCAACUUUCUGCGAUCUCCUCUCCCAACCACCAUCACGUUCUUCUUGCUGCUGUUAGGAGCUGUGAAGCUGAUGGGGAUGGUGCUGUCGUGUCCAUGUAAGCCUGGGGUAAACGAGGCGUUUGUGUUCUUUACGUUUGUGGUGCCGGCUGUGAUGCUCUUCACCCUGAUGCUGGUUCUUAUCCGGCCGUGUCAGCAUCGCUGCAGGAGGUGCUCGUGCGGAAGUCGUUUUACAGAGGCCCUCAUUCCCUGCCUGAUCCCCUCGAUCCUGUGGGUCGUUCUGCUGCUCCUGGACGGUCAGUACGUGGCCUGUGGGUUGACCUACUGGAAAGGAAAUUAUGAACUGGAUGACAAUAAGCCUGAGAUGGUGUGGUGUGUUCCGUCGAGUUCGGGGCAGUUGCCAGAAAAGGCCUUGUAUCAACGCUUCAUUGGAUGGUCCCAGGUUUCAGGACUUAUUCUGCUGUUAGUCAUCUGCACUGUGACCAUGUUCGUCGUGGGUUGCCGGGACUGCCGUCAAGCUUCAGAGGGGAAUGAGGAGGUACAGCAUACAACAUCUUAAACAUUACCACUCAUCAGCCAUAACAUUAACUGUCAUGGUGGGGUACAGAAUACAGACACUCGCAGAACCAUUUAAGGAUUUUAUUAAAAACCCACAGGGUACAAAACAAAACAGUAGCAGUUGGUAGAUAAUACUGUUAAGCAGAUUCCAGGAGGAAAAGACCAUUACCGGAUAGUGAGGCAGUCCAAUGGUCAUACACGAAGCAGGCAGUAUCAGAGAAAAUCCACAAUCAGAAACAAUACACAGUCCCGAGGUCAUUCACGAAGCAGGCAGUAUC
Molecule: long non-coding RNA, 1072 nt
Filed under: Astyanax mexicanus (Mexican tetra)
Lineage: Eukaryota; Metazoa; Chordata; Actinopteri; Characiformes; Acestrorhamphidae
Description: lncRNA (ENSAMXG00005002825.1)
Source: RNAcentral